GAUGAACGCUGGCGGCGUGCCUAAUACAUGCAAGUCGAGCGAACAGACGAGGAGCUUGCUCCUCUGACGUUAGCGGCGGACGGGUGAGUAACACGUGGAUAACCUACCUAUAAGACUGGGAUAACUUCGGGAAACCGGAGCUAAUACCGGAUAAUAUAUUGAACCUCAUGGUUCAAUAGUGAAAGACGGUUUUGCUGUCACUUAUAGAUGGAUCCUCGCCGCAUUAGCUAGUUGGUAAGGUAACGGCUUACCAAGGCGACGAUGCGUAGCCGACCUGAGAGGGUGAUCGGCCACACUGGAACUGAGACACGGUCCAGACUCCUACGGGAGGCAGCAGUAGGGAAUCUUGCGCAAUGGGCGAAAGCCUGACGGAGCAACGCCGCGUGAGUGAUGAAGGUCUUCGGAUCGUAAAACUCUGUUAUUAGGGAAGAACAAAUGUGUAAGUAACUAUGCACGUCUUGACGGUACCUAAUCAGAAAGCCACGGCUAACUACGUG
RNAcentral lists this ribosomal RNA (497 nucleotides) under uncultured bacterium. RNAcentral's name for it is "partial 16S ribosomal RNA". It matches the Rfam family "Bacterial small subunit ribosomal RNA", at positions 28 to 507 of the family's 1533-position model. The record is from RNAcentral.